UAAAAGUUUUGUAUCUCCGUGUGGCCUCUCAUACGUUCCUUAGUUAUCUGAUCAGGCCAAGGUUCUAAAUAAGAACAAGGAAACAAAGAAUGUUUGUACAUAUUGUGUUCCACCCUUUCAUUCUCCACCUCAUAUUAUAUGAUAAUUAUUACUCACAACAUUUCUGCCAUGUAUUGUAGACUAUUUAAACCCUGAACCCAAAUACUUUCUAACAAACAGCUUCCUUGUACUUAUGGUAUAGAAGCGUAUCACAAUUCCCUUCAGUAUGACAAGAGUAUUUACUUUGGUUUGUGUCUUUGCUGUUCUACUUCACACAGUCUAUAUAGCUGUGACAGGUGACUCAUCAAUCCCAUUGUAGUAACCUCUGUCUGCUAGCAAAAGAACAGAGCUUGUCAGGAUAUUGUUUGACCUGCUACCAGUGCAACACAGAUAAGUUUAAUCGAUGUUUAGGACGGCUUGUGAAAUGCCCAGAAAAUUACAUCUGUUUUUCAGGCUUUCUUCAAAAGGAAACAAAUUACCCUUUGUUGAUUGAAAGAAAAUGUGCUCCGACGUCUAUGUGCAAUCAGUCGUUAAGCUUCUUUAACGGGAUAAAGAUUAAACAUUCUUCUUCCUGCUGCAGCACAGAAAAUUGUGACCCUUCUCCAACAAGUAACAAAUCAUGAUCAAUAAAAGAAGUACAGCUUAAUAAAGAACAAUAGUCUGAGAAAACGUGAUUCAUGAUUAAAUAAAUGCAUACAAGUUGUUUUUUGUAGUUCAUAGCAGCACUACUGAUGAAGGCAAUGGAUUAUUCUGCCCGUCCUGUUCUACCGAAUUUUCCAGUGAGUGUGAGCCAGCCAAAACUAUCCAGUGCACAGGAAAAGAGGAUAGCUGUUUCUCAGUCUUCACAUUACACACAAUCAGUUAUGAUGUACAUGAAGAUUUAACUGCCAGAGGCUGUGUUUCUAGCAACCUUUGUAAUACUUACCUUGAAGGUACAAUGGCUCCUGGAUUCCUGAAUGACAAAAAAGUAAAAUGUGCUGGCAGUGCCAUAAGUUCAAACAGAAUUCAUUUACUGACAUUAUGUGUGCUUUUCUUAUUUUCAUGCAAAUAGUAUUUUGGAAAAGUAUCCUGUAUCAGUGCAAUCUGCAUGAUAAUGUCAAAAUGAUAUCAGCUUUAUCAUAUCAGAUAACAUGCAAAAUAUUAAUAUACAUAAAAGGAAACCUGUCAUGUCCAAAUCCAUGUGUUGGUUUCUAUGUGAAAUAGUAAGGAAAGCCUAAGUAUUAUGAACUAUGUGAUUUCUCUCCAUUAAUUCCAAAUAAAUACAUGUACAUUUUUAAAAGAAAAAAAUUCUGAUAUUUCCUCUGGUCUAAUAUCUGCCAUUAUAUGGGUCACCUGUUUAAAAGCAAGCAUCCUAUUGAUUGCUAUUGCCUACUGCUCCUGGGCAAACGUAGUGCCUUUUAUUACAUAUGGGGUAAAGUGUUUUAAAUGCAUGACAAUAUAAUAUUCUGCUGCUACACAGGAUACACAGUUGAUGACAGAUACAUUUUAAAGAAUCCCAUUGUAUACUACUGAGCUUAUCUGCUGUGU
Xenopus laevis (African clawed frog) is the source of this 1566-nucleotide RNA transcript. It is a transcript of the gene named phospholipase A2 inhibitor subunit gamma B-like, with no coding region annotated. The transcript has 6 exons. The record is from RefSeq and is a predicted model, not a curated record. Lineage: Eukaryota; Metazoa; Chordata; Amphibia; Anura; Pipidae.